RNAcentral lists this ribosomal RNA (473 nucleotides) under Shigella sonnei. RNAcentral describes it as "partial 23S ribosomal RNA". It matches the Rfam family "Bacterial large subunit ribosomal RNA", at positions 445 to 920 of the family's 2925-position model. The record is from RNAcentral. Lineage: Bacteria; Pseudomonadati; Pseudomonadota; Gammaproteobacteria; Enterobacterales; Enterobacteriaceae.
UGGGGGGCCCAUCCUCCAAGGCUAAAUACUCCUGACUGACCGAUAGUGAACCAGUACCGUGAGGGAAAGGCGAAAAGAACCCCGGCGAGGGGAGUGAAAAAGAACCUGAAACCGUGUACGUACAAGCAGUGGGAGCACGCUUAGGCGUGUGACUGCGUACCUUUUGUAUAAUGGGUCAGCGACUUAUAUUCUGUAGCAAGGUUAACCGAAUAGGGGAGCCGAAGGGAAACCGAGUCUUAACUGGGCGUUAAGUUGCAGGGUAUAGACCCGAAACCCGGUGAUCUAGCCAUGGGCAGGUUGAAGGUUGGGUAACACUAACUGGAGGACCGAACCGACUAAUGUUGAAAAAUUAGCGGAUGACUUGUGGCUGGGGGUGAAAGGCCAAUCAAACCGGGAGAUAGCUGGUUCUCCCCGAAAGCUAUUUAGGUAGCGCCUCGUGAAUUCAUCUCCGGGGGUAGAGCACUGUUUCGGCA